This 637-nucleotide unclassified non-coding RNA is filed under the name Hevea brasiliensis (rubber tree). Lineage: Eukaryota; Viridiplantae; Streptophyta; Magnoliopsida; Malpighiales; Euphorbiaceae. The record is from RNAcentral.
GUAUUGUAGGAAUUUGGGGUAUGGCUGGCAUAGGUAAAACAACUAUUGCUAGAGCUAUUUUCAACACUCUCUCAAAUCAAUUUGAUGCUUGCAUUUUUCUUGAGAAUAUAGGGGAAGAAUCAAAACAAUUUGAGGGGCUAGGUCAUUUAAGAGAAAAGCUUCUUUCUGAAUUGUUAGAGGAGGAAAAUUUACGUACUGUCACUCUCAAUGUAGAAUCUAUUUCCAUUAGGGAUAGGAUCCGCAACAAAAGGGUGUUGCUUGUCCUUGAUGAUUUGAAUGAUGUGGAUCAGCUAGAAGUCCUGAUUGGAAGAUGUGAUUUUGCUUUGGGAAGUAGAGUUAUUGUGACAUCUAGAGAUAGGCAUGUUCUUAAGAAUGCAGCUGAUGAAAUAUAUGAAAUUGAGGGAUUAGAUAAUGAUGAAGCUCUUCAAUUGUUCAGUUUGAAUGCUUUUAAGAAAAAUUAUCCCACUUCUGAUAGAUUGGAGCUAUCAACUAGGGUGGUGAACUAUGCUCAAGGAAACCCCUUGGCACUUAAAGUUUUGGGUUCCUUCCUGUUUGACAGAAGGAGAGAAGAUUGGGAAAGCGCAUUGGAUAAACUUGGAAGAAUUCCUCAGCGUAAAAUUUUUCAUAUGUUGAGAAU